RNAcentral lists this transfer RNA (73 nucleotides) under Merluccius polli (Benguela hake). RNAcentral describes it as "tRNA-Tyr". It matches the Rfam family "tRNA". From Rfam's summary of the family: Transfer RNA (tRNA) molecules are approximately 80 nucleotides in length. Their secondary structure includes four short double-helical elements and three loops (D, anti-codon, and T loops). Further hydrogen bonds mediate the characteristic L-shaped molecular structure. tRNAs have two regions of fundamental functional importance: the anti-codon, which is responsible for specific mRNA codon recognition, and the 3' end, to which the tRNAs corresponding amino acid is attached (by aminoacyl-tRNA synthetases). tRNAs cope with the degeneracy of the genetic code in two manners: having more than one tRNA (with a specific anti-codon) for a particular amino acid; and 'wobble' base-pairing, i.e. permitting non-standard base-pairing at the 3rd anti-codon position. The record is from RNAcentral. Lineage: Eukaryota; Metazoa; Chordata; Actinopteri; Gadiformes; Merlucciidae.
CCUUCGAUAGCUCUGUUGGUAGAGCGGAGGACUGUAGAUCCUUAGGUCGCUGGUUCAACUCCGGCUCGAAGGA